GAUAUACUCUCUCCGUCUGAAAAUACUUGUCAUCAAAAUGGAUAAAAAGAGAUGUAUCUAGAACUAAAAUAUGUCUAGAUACAUCUCCUUUUAUCCAUUUUGAUGACAAGUAUUUCCGGAUGGAGGGAGUAUAAA
Triticum urartu is the source of this 135-nucleotide non-coding RNA. The record is from Rfam. NCBI's taxonomy places the organism in Eukaryota, Viridiplantae, Streptophyta, Magnoliopsida, Poales, Poaceae.